This is a small nuclear RNA of Aotus nancymaae (Ma's night monkey), 141 nucleotides long. Its record names the gene U4. It matches the Rfam family "U4 spliceosomal RNA". From Rfam's summary of the family: U4 small nuclear RNA (U4 snRNA) is a component of the major U2-dependent spliceosome. The structure of U4 snRNA from yeast and human has been reported. The record is from Ensembl. NCBI's taxonomy places the organism in Eukaryota, Metazoa, Chordata, Mammalia, Primates, Aotidae.
AGCUUUGCACAGGGGCAGUAUUGUAGCCAAUGAGGUUUAUCCGAGGCAUGAUUAUUGCUAAUUGAAAACUUUUCUCAAUCCCCCGCCAUGACAACUUGCAAUAUAGUCGGCAUUGACAAUAUUUGACAGUCUCUAUAGCGA